CCUUGCUUGACUAAGGCUCCGGAGGAAGCCACGGCUAACUCUGUGCCAGCAGCCGCGGUAAUACAGAGGCGGCAAGCGUUGUUCGGAAUUAUUGGGCGUAAGGAACACGGAGGCGGGUUUGGAAGUCAGUUGUGAAAACCUUCCGCUUAACGGAAGAACAGCAUCUGAUACUGCAAGGCUAGAGUGCGGAAGGGGAGAGUGGAACUUCUGGU
Molecule: ribosomal RNA, 212 nt
Filed under: uncultured Planctomycetota bacterium
Lineage: Bacteria; Pseudomonadati; Planctomycetota
Description: uncultured planctomycete partial 16S ribosomal RNA
Rfam family: Bacterial small subunit ribosomal RNA
Source: RNAcentral